GUUUUGGGCUAUCGGUUAAACUUGUCUCCUGUAUGUGAGACUUGAGCAUUUUUGAGUUUGUCUCAUAGAACCUCUGAGAACCAGAUAUCACAUGGCGUCGGAAGUUGGUGUGGAUUUCUUUUCUUUUGCAGAUUGGGAGCCACCCUGAAAAUAUAUUUCUGAAAGACAGGAUAGACAUUUUUAGAUCAAUAAUUUCUGUUGGACUUCAUAUAACUAUCAAAUGAUGAAGUCCUAUUUUAUGAAGAGUAGUCCUCUAUUUUAAGAGCUGUCUGAGGGCACUCCUCGAUUUGAAGGAAGGGCUGUCCAGUCCAAAUCCGGUUUAAAGAUAAACAGUCUUCAGAAAGGUGAGCGGGGGACCUCGAAAUUGCCCAUCUACAGUGAGCACCUGAGCAACAGACUGAGCAAGCACAGAAGUCACCUGGUCACAAUUUUCCCCACUAUGAUGAGAUGAACUGCUAUUUAAAUGAUAGUAUUUAUUUCUCAAUUUGCAUAUCUACAUAUAAAUUAGCAUAUACAAAUCUUACACAAGCUCAUGUCUUUUAUCCAACGUUUUGGUGGUGGAUUUCCUCUUUUGGGGCAAUGCAUAAGUGGCCACCCUAAAGAGCUGUGACCUGUUCUGUAGCAUUCGGCAUAGAAGCCACAAUGCGGUUUUACUUAGCAUACGGUUUUGUGUUUCUUUUCCUAUGUGCUGGAUUGUAACGUUCUCUGGAUAAACCUUGUCCUAAUUCA
Molecule: long non-coding RNA, 729 nt
Organism: Rhineura floridana
Lineage: Eukaryota; Metazoa; Chordata; Lepidosauria; Squamata; Rhineuridae
Exons: 2
Source: RefSeq, a predicted model, not a curated record